GUGCCAGCCGCCGCGGUAAGACGUAGGGGGCGAGCGUUGUCCGGAAUUACUGGGCGUAAAGAGCACGUAGGCGGAUGUAUAAGUCAGGUGUGAAAGACCGCAGCCUAACUGCGGGGUUGCACUUGAAACUGUAUAUCUUGAGGGCAGGAGAGGUUAGUAGAAUUCCUGGUGUAGCGGUGAAAUGCGUAGAAAUCAGGAGGAAUACCAGUGGCGAAGGCGACUGACUGGACUGACCCUGACGCUGAGGUGCGAAAGCGUGGGUAGCAAACAGGAUUAGAAACCCCGGUAGUCCCGAAA
RNAcentral lists this ribosomal RNA (297 nucleotides) under uncultured bacterium. RNAcentral describes it as "partial 16S ribosomal RNA". It matches the Rfam family "Bacterial small subunit ribosomal RNA", at positions 505 to 805 of the family's 1533-position model. The record is from RNAcentral.